GAGUUUGAUCAUGGCUCAGGAUGAACGCUGGCGGCAGGCCUAACACAUGCAAGUCGAGCGGUAACAGAACUAGCUUGCUAGUUGCUGACGAGCGGCGGACGGGUGAGUAACGCGUGGGAAUCUGCCUGAUAGUGGGGGACAACAGUUGGAAACGGCUGCUAAUACCGCAUACGCCCUUCGGGGGAAAGUGGGGGAUCUUCGGACCUCACGCUAUCAGAUGAGCCCGCGUCGGAUUAGCUUGUUGGUGGGGUAAAGGCUCACCAAGGCGAUGAUCCGUAGCUGGUCUGAGAGGAUGAUCAGCCACACUGGGACUGAGACACGGCCCAGACUCCUACGGGAGGCAGCAGUGGGGAAUAUUGCACAAUGGGGGAAACCCUGAUGCAGCCAUGCCGCGUGUGUGAAGAAGGCCUUCGGGUUGUAAAGCACUUUCAGUGGUGAGGAAGGCUUGUAGGUUAAUAGCCUGCAAGAUUGACGUUAGCCACAGAAGAAGCACCGGCUAACUCCGUGCCAGCAGCCGCGGUAA
This 523-nucleotide ribosomal RNA is filed under the name uncultured Gammaproteobacteria bacterium. Its description in RNAcentral is "bacterial SSU rRNA". It matches the Rfam family "Bacterial small subunit ribosomal RNA", at positions 9 to 523 of the family's 1533-position model. Lineage: Bacteria; Pseudomonadati; Pseudomonadota; Gammaproteobacteria. The record is from RNAcentral.